This 1072-nucleotide long non-coding RNA is filed under the name Pongo abelii (Sumatran orangutan). RNAcentral's name for it is "lincRNA". The record is from RNAcentral. Lineage: Eukaryota; Metazoa; Chordata; Mammalia; Primates; Hominidae.
UUCUUGAAUCCAGUUCAUGAAUCGAGGGAGAUCCUUGGAUGUCUGAUGGCUGCUAUUCUGUUUCUCAAACAAUUUGAAUUCAUCAAGCCGUCACUGAAGAUUUGGAGUCACACAGUCAAGUUUAAAUCCAUGCUAUGCUAUUUAAAACUUGCAUGAUCUUGUGCUAAUUAAUCAAUUUUUGCUUCAGUUUCUGAAAUGGCUCUUGAGUUUCUGCUUUCAAGUGACCCUCAGAAAUGCCCCCAUUCACUGCAGAGGUUCUGUUUCUCCUUGUUUUGUUCCGACUUUAUGGCAGAACUAGGUUAAUGAGUUAAUUACUAUGAGUUAUCACUUGGAUUUGAAGAACCAUCAUUUCUAGGCUUUGCUGCUCAGAGUGGGUUUGCCCUCAGGGGAAGCUAUCUAACCAGAGCCUAACCCACUAGGGUUUUAUCAGAACCUAACUGGCCUGAGGAAAAGAAAUAUUCAACUCCAGCAAGCUCCAGCCUUCCAAACGGAGGAGGAGAAAACCCAAAUCCAGCCCACUUCAGCUAUCUUGUCCCACAUAAAGGGGGAGUGGAAGAAACGUGAGAAGCAGGCAUGAAGUUCACAGUCCGGAGGUACAGACACAUCAGAGUUCAGUAUCUGAUGAAUUAGAUGCAAAAUCCUCAACAAAGUAUUAGCAAAUUGAAUUCAACAAUGUAUGAAAAUUAUUACAUGCCAUGACUAAUUGGAAUUUAUCUCAGGUAUACAAGCCAUGCUGAACAUCUGAAAAUCAAUUCAUGUGAUCCAUCACAUUAGCAGAUUCAAGAAAAAAAAAACCACAUUAUCAUAUCAGUAGAUGUAGAAAAAAAAAAUUAACAAAAUCCAGCACGCAUUCACAAUGAAAAUGCUCAGUAAAUUAGAAAUAGAAGGUAACUUCCUCAACUUGACAAGGAAUAUCUCUAAAAACCUACAACUAAAAUCAUACUUAAUGGUAAAAAACUAGAAGCCUUCCCAGUAAGAGUAAGAACAAGGCAAAGAUGUAUGCUCUCACCACUCCUUUUCAACAUCAUAUUGGAAGUCCUAGCUAGUGCAAUAAGCAAAAAAAAAAAAAAAA